Molecule: long non-coding RNA, 1429 nt
Filed under: Sarcophilus harrisii (Tasmanian devil)
Lineage: Eukaryota; Metazoa; Chordata; Mammalia; Dasyuromorphia; Dasyuridae
Description: lncRNA (ENSSHAG00000027776.1)
Source: RNAcentral
CACCCCCUGCCUGGGGAAGGGCCAUUCUGAUGUGGGGAUGAGAUCGUUAUGGGGGCGGGGGGUGUCUUUCCGGAACCUCGGUCUCCAUGGUGGGCUGGUGUACCGAGCAAAAUGAGUAUCGCUGCUUCUUUUCCGUGAAAAAAGAAUGAUUAAGGUGAUUGCUGUAUAGACUUGGUGUGCUGGAUGAUUUUUGAAAAUAAGGUGUUCAUCAGUUUCUAACAGCCAUGGGACUUCCUUCUGUUCUGCAACAAUCAUUGGAUCUUCUUAUAGUCUCAGAGAUACUUGUGACACUGUAUUCAGUGGGUAACUAAGCUAUUGCUAAAUUGAUACAAACAGCCUGCAGUUCAUGGGGCAAUAACUUUUUUCAAAUGUUUAAUGACUUUAAAGUGGCUUAAUAUAAUGGAACAUUUUUACUCAUUAAUUAUAUCUACAUAUAUCUGAUAUUUAAGAAAAAUGUGGAAGUAUCUGUUUUUGGAUUUGUGGGUCACUAGGGGACUAAGAUAAAAUAUAUCGUCAUCUCCUUUGGCCCUCUUUAACAUGGUUUACAAGGGAACCAUUUGGUGACAGUGAAAUUAUAGCAGCCUCCUUUGCAGUUUCUUGUAUUAUUAUUCUAGGCUUUUUUUUUUAAAUUGUUCUUUACCUCAUUUUCUCCAUGCCACCAUCUAGGACAUUAUUUAGUCUUACAAGGCUCUAAACAUCACUGCAUUUGGAAAAGGAGUAAGAUACUCAAAAAAGCUGCAGUAUUUUAAUGGAGGAAAUUAGAUCUACCACUCCUCUGUCCUACUCUCCAAAAAAGUUUCAACAUUGUGACUAAAGGUUCCUCUCUCCCAGAACUGAAGUGAAUUGUGUGGAAAGCAUAGCCAGUAAAACUGACUAGAUGGUAAUAGACUUUCUUUAUGACUUUUCUGAACUUGCACCAACACUUCUUUCAAGGGCUAGCUACUCUGACAACUCAUAAUGAAGAUAACAAUAUUACUUGGCUAUAAUCAGAUCAGUUAAGGGUAGCUAGGUGGUAUAGUGGAUUAGUGCUGGGCCUGAAGUCAGGAAGAUUCAUGUUCCUGAAUUCAAGUCUGGCUUUAGACACUAGCUGUGUAUUUUCCUUAGUUUCUUCAUCUGUAAAAUGAUCUGGAAAAGGAAAAAGCAAACAACUCCCACAUCUUUACCAAGAAAUCCCAAAUGGGGUUCGCAAAGUAUCUGGCAUGACUGAAAAACUGAACAAAUGAUCAUUAGGUUCUAGUUGUCCAGCAAUAGACAAUUAGAUUUGUUUGCAUUUCCCAUAAAAGCAAACAAAUAGCCAGUGUGUCUCCCUUCCCUCCCAAAAAACACAGUUCAUACAUAUUAAGAACACAAAAUGCACAAUCUAAUUUAAAACUUAUUUACCUUUUAACAAUUUUAAACUAGAAGAAAAUGAUUUCCUAGGAAAAUAGAG